CGUAGUUAGAGCGUCCGCAAUGGGAGAACAACGGAAUCCUUAGCACUUAAUCAUAUGUCAGGAAAAAUAAAAUAAUAAUUUUUUGCUUAAUAAAACUUAAGGAUUUGUCCUUAAAUAGAAGGUUUAAGGAUUUGAUCCUUAAGAUACGUGGCAUUCUGUGAAUGGGUCAGAAGUUCAACAACGAAUCAACUUGAUGACACCGAAGGCUUCACGAACGAAGGGAAAGACGACGAUGGAAGUCGGAGGCGAUUGCGUUGCCGUCACAACACUCAUCAACCCUCCCGUCAAUUCUCAUUCGACGCGAUUCUUACUGGUAAAAAGAGAGAAGCUGAAUAAAAGGUUGUGGAAGAAUCUGGGCUCUGUUUCUAAGGAUAUGUGUGUUUGUCUUGAAAGUUUCAGGGAUUCAACUUGAGAAGAUAAAUAAUUCAGAAGAUUUUGUCUUAUACGCUACUUUCAUCAAGGAAUGACGUAGAACGGUUUUGAAUCGAGUCUCUGUUUAAAAUAAAGUUUGUUUCUUUCCAUCUCAAGAGUUGAGAAAGUUUGGAACUUUAUGGCGCUACUACAACAUGUUUGUGAUGAUAACCAGCUUCAAGCAAAGACCUUCCGCAGCAGCGACUGAUAACUCCAACUCUGAAGAAGAGCGAGGAUGAGCGAGAGUAGGAGAGGGAGUCGUCGUUCUUAGCUAUGAUAACUCCAACUCUGAUGACAGCUCGGUUGCAUCGGUAGAGUUUCCGGAGUAUAGAGUAGAUGAGAUCGAUGAUGAGUUCAUCACCACCACGAGUGGGGUAAACAGAAGUAGCUCUGUGCAUCAAAGGUCAGAUUCAUCUACAUUAGAUACAAGUUCUUACACAAUAGGUGUUGCUCUCUCUCUCUCUCUCUCUCUCUCUCUCUCUCUCUCUCUCUCUCUCUCUCUCUCUCUCUCUCUCUCUCUCUCUCUCUCUCUCUGGUCCACAGGUUAAGAAGGCAUCGUUCCCGUUUCUAUGAAAAUUAGGUACCAUUUUUGUGUAUCUACGCUCUUGGUUCUAUCUUUUUGUCAAUCAGCUGGAGAUUGAAGCGAGGUAAGUGAAGCAGACAAUGACGGAUGUUCUUGGUUUUGGACCUCUCUCUUUCCGUUGUUUCAGUUACAUGAUUUGAUUUUAGGUUUGUUUGUCUUGUGACAUUUACUUGCGGUCGCAUUCUUGUACAAAAACGUAAUCAGGAAAAAGGUUUUUGUCUCAAUACUGA
Raphanus sativus (radish) is the source of this 1224-nucleotide long non-coding RNA. RefSeq lists it as uncharacterized. NCBI's taxonomy places the organism in Eukaryota, Viridiplantae, Streptophyta, Magnoliopsida, Brassicales, Brassicaceae. The record is from RefSeq and is a predicted model, not a curated record. The transcript has 3 exons.